CAGAAGUAGAGUCAGAGGGAGGCCACCGUUGGCUUUGAAGAUGAAAGGGGCCAUCACCAAGGAAUGGACAGCCUCUAGAAGCUGAGAAGACAAAGAAAUGACUUCUCCCCUCAGAGCCUCCAGGAAAGUGCAGCCCUGCUGCCUCCCUGACUGUAAGCUGGUGAACAGAUUUCAGACUUCUUCAGAACUAUAAAAUCAUUAACUGUGUUGUAAGACACAAAGUUAGUACUUGUUACAGCAGCCAUAGGAAACUAACACUUGCGGUAACCAUCACUAUUUAAUUUUCAAACUCUGGAACUAAGUAUAAAUCUCCUAAGAUGUUUAAACAUA
Molecule: long non-coding RNA, 330 nt
Organism: Pongo pygmaeus (Bornean orangutan)
Lineage: Eukaryota; Metazoa; Chordata; Mammalia; Primates; Hominidae
Exons: 2
Source: RefSeq, a predicted model, not a curated record